RNAcentral lists this ribosomal RNA (752 nucleotides) under Colletotrichum gloeosporioides. RNAcentral's name for it is "eukaryotic LSU rRNA". It matches the Rfam family "Eukaryotic large subunit ribosomal RNA", at positions 47 to 830 of the family's 3401-position model. The record is from RNAcentral. Lineage: Eukaryota; Fungi; Ascomycota; Sordariomycetes; Glomerellales; Glomerellaceae.
UAAGCGGAGGAAAAGAAACCAACAGGGAUUGCCUCAGUAACGGCGAGUGAAGCGGCAACAGCUCAAAUUUGAAAUCUGGCCCCAGGCCCGAGUUGUAAUUUGCAGAGGAUGCUUUUGGUGCGGUGCCUUCCAAGUUCCCUAGAACGGGACGCCAGAGAGGGUGAGAGCCCCGUACAGUUGGACACCAAGCCUUUGUAAAGCUCCUUCGACGAGUCGAGUAGUUUGGGAAUGCUGCUCAAAAUGGGAGGUAUAUUUCUUCUAAAGCUAAAUACCGGCCAGAGACCGAUAGCGCACAAGUAGAGUGAUCGAAAGAUGAAAAGCACUUUGAAAAGAGGGUUAAACAGCACGUGAAAUUGUUAAAAGGGAAGCGCUUGUGACCAGACUUGCGUCCGGUGAAUCACCCAGCUCUCGCGGCUGGGGCACUUCGCCGGCUCAGGCCAGCAUCAGCUCGCUGUCGGGGACAAAAGCUUCAGGAACGUAGCUCUCUUCGGGGAGUGUUAUAGCCUGUUGCACAAUACCCUUCGGCGGGCUGAGGUACGCGCUCCGCAAGGAUGCUGGCAUAAUGGUCAUCAGCGACCCGUCUUGAAACACGGACCAAGGAGUCAACCUUAUGUGCGAGUGUUCGGGUGUCAAACCCCUACGCGUAAUGAAAGUGAACGCAGGUGAGAGCUUCGGCGCAUCAUCGACCGAUCCUGAUGUUCUCGGAUGGAUUUGAGUAAGAGCAUAUAGGGUUGGACCCGAAAGAAGGUGAA